Equus caballus (horse) is the source of this 1836-nucleotide long non-coding RNA. The record is from Ensembl. NCBI's taxonomy places the organism in Eukaryota, Metazoa, Chordata, Mammalia, Perissodactyla, Equidae.
ACAGAGUAAAUGUGGAAAUUGGUAGCAUUACGUACAACAUGCAUAAUAAAUCUUGGAAAUUUCCUUUAAAUAUUUUGCCAUACUAAAAACUUCAAAAAGCCCUUUGAUUGAAACAUUUGGAUAAAUGCUCAGAUGUCAAUACAUCUCCUAAGAGCAUUAGAAAGCGGUCCUUGUUAAUACUCUUACUUACACUGUUAAAGGAGAAUCUUACUUCCUGAGAACCAGACUAAAUCAUCGUGUUUUUCACUUCACCUUGCUUAAAUAAACAGAGCUGCCAAAAUCUGAUGGAUCUUUCAUAACGCCAGUACUAAAAAGCUUAGUAUAAGCAUGUGAAAAUUCAAAAUUUUCAGGCUUCCCUUAAAAAGUAGGUUUGGCCUUUGUUCUUGUCUUCCUCAAUAACUUGGAUCUGAAUGCUGCAUUAUUUUCCAGCUACAACCUAAGAAUGGUUUACAUUAUCAAAAAACUUUACCUAUGGGAGAAAUAGACAGCACAAGCAAACUAUAUUUGUGGAAAAGUGGACUCCUGAUUAAAUAAAAACAGAUCUUAAAAAGAGGAUGUAGAAGCCUGGGAUUUUGAGAAAGGAUCAGAGGGACUAUCACGAAGAGUUUAAAUAUGGGACACAGAUGAAGACGUAAAUAAGUUACGGCGAUAAUUUGUCAAGAGUUCCAGCUGUCGAUCUUCACCAGAUGAAUCUUCUCCAAUUACUGGCGGGAGUAUUUGACCCACCAGGCGACUUCCCUGAGUUGAACCACUUUUCUAAUGAUUCUAACUGUGGACAGUCCAAGUUGGCCAUAUGAGAAUUUGAACACGGCGGUGAUUUCUGAACAGUGUAGAUCAUGUCCAUGUGUCUGGCUGGACUUGUUUGCCCUGUGUCCAUUCCUUCAGCCUAAUUGAUUGUGACUCAAGUGGUAUUCUUUUGAAAGAUGAGGCCCAGACGGCAGUGGGUGAUGUCUUCAAUUUCCAACCAAAGGGCCCUAAAGGAGCCAGAACGGAUUUCCAGAAAGAGCCUUAAACCAAAAGAACGUACCUAUAAUGGAAGGCAGCCUCUCCUGGGAGACAAGUGGUCGUAGGAACCUUCUUUUUACUCCUCGGUUCACACCCUGUAGUCACCAUAAAAUUGCAACAUUUGAGCCAGAACAAUUUAUCUCAGGAACUAAUUGAAAACUAGACCAAGAAAAGAAGAAGUAAAAACAACUGGAAUUUUCCCUCUCUCACUGUAAAAAUAAAUGUCAUUCUCCCAUGACCAUGUGUGACUCCAUGAGAACUUCCAGUUAAUGCAGAUGUUGCCAAAUUUGCUACUAACUGGUGAAACGGAACAGAGCUCAGCUGACUUUGUUAUUUCUGUUGGCACUUCUAGGUGCCUUGAGACAACUGACAUUUGCAAGACUUAACCUGAGCCCCCCAGCUACAAAAGCUUGGAGGCCUCAGCUGUCACUUCGGUUUCCACGGAAACUCAAAUCAGAUUGCCAAAAAGGAGGAAGAAAAUUCUUAUGACUGGAGACUGGAUGUGCAUGUUUUGAAGAAGAAGAGGGGCUAAGUACAAUUAUUGCUGAAAAAGGACAAUGACCAUGUAAAUGGGAAAUUAGUGGUUUUACAGACGUCGUGUAGAUGAAAAUUCCAGAUGAAACUGAAAUGUAAAUUCAAUUAUCCUGUGAAUAGUCUUUUCCAAAGUAUGAGUCUAAAUGAAGCAGAAAUUUUCAAACUGUUGUUUACUGAUUGUUUCCAGAUGUUCUUGGCUUCUACUUUAUUUGUCUACAUGUAGCAAAGCGAAGUGCUAAACAGGACAAGAGGGAAACCAGCAGUUGCUGACCUAACACAUCUGUGGCACCCCGGCAU